UUGAUGUCCUGAACUUUAUCUCAUCCAAUAACAUAGUAUUGCAUAUGAAAUUUUACAUUGAAUAGUACUAUUUUACUGGAUUAGAUUUAUUAAUGUGAACUAAAAUUUUAAAUAAUGUGUCACUAUAUUAUUAAUCUUCAUGCUUAAUUAAGACCUUUAAUUUCUCAUUUGUGGGGUCCAUAUUUUUGUUUCAGUGGGCUCAUUUCCCACACAUUCAUUUCGGACUUAUGCCUGAUCAUCAACCCGUGAAGAAAGCUAAUGUGCGCCAGGAAUCAGAAGACGUGCUUAUGAAAGAUGGGUUUUUCGCACCGGCAAAUGUAGGUGUUACCCCCUACUAAAACAGUUUAUGGUUUAGGGCUUCGAGUAUCACUCUUAUCUAAGUAACUAUUGUACUAUGAUUUUGUCUUAUGCAUAUUAAUGUUGUGCACUUGUGAUAGUACUUGUUAGUGUUAAAAGUUGUUAGACUAUAUUAC
Non-coding RNA from Lupinus albus (white lupine), 473 nucleotides. The record is from the annotation of a GenBank genome assembly. Lineage: Eukaryota; Viridiplantae; Streptophyta; Magnoliopsida; Fabales; Fabaceae.